RNAcentral lists this long non-coding RNA (3952 nucleotides) under Cyanistes caeruleus (blue tit). Its description in RNAcentral is "lncRNA (ENSCCEG00000000134.1)". Lineage: Eukaryota; Metazoa; Chordata; Aves; Passeriformes; Paridae. The record is from RNAcentral.
CCUCCAUGGAAGCAGGUCACAUCUCAUGCAAUCAGGCAGGGGAUUCCCUGUAACUUCUUCCAUCUACAGGUGAUGAUGGGAUGGAGCUCCAGCUCAAAAGAAAGACACAGAGGAUAACCCUUUACAAACCAUGCAAUGCUGCAGUACAAUGCUGUUUACAAUUUGCAAGUAGAGCCCAUUUGCUCCAGCCUAGCCUCCUGCUGAUGGACUAGGGACCCUUGCCAGCACAUCUUCUCCUAGGUCAUCUAACAAGGUGACUCCUAGGUUGGCAAUUUGCUUCUGAAGCUGUAAACAGAGAACUAGGAAAGCUUGUCAAGACCACUUCCUGCUUGGAAUAAGUCACACAGUUCAAUUUACUGGAGUAUUGUUCUCUUUGAGAUACUGCAUGUUCUGUGAGACCUCCUCCAGAUAAAAAUAGAUUGACAAGAUAGGAAAUGCUUGAAGUGGUCCUAAUCAUCAGGAUGAAAGCCAGGAAAAACAGAUUGUCCCAUGUCUACUAUUAACAUAAUUAAUGGCCUCAAGUUAUGAGAGGGGAGGUUUAGAUUGGAUUCUAGGAAACAUUUCUUCACUGAAGUGUUGUCAAGCAUUGGAUCAGGCUGCCCAGGGAAGUGGUGGGUCACCAUGCCUGGAGGUAUUUAAAAGACAUGUAGAUGUGGCACUUGAAGGACCUGGUUUAGUGGUGGACUUGGCAGAGCUGGGCUAAUGGUUGGACUCAACUUCAAGGGUCUUUUCCAGUCUAAAUUGUUCUGUGAUUCUGUAAUUCAGAUUAGCUUGGGUUUCAGUUCCCCCAGACUGACCAACUUCAUAGCUAGAUCUCUUUUUCUUCAGGGAUGUCAUGACAGAGUAGUUGGGACACUUCUGUCCUAUGGCAAGACUACAGUUACUGGCAUCAGCACUUCUGGUGGAGCAACAAACACAGGCUUAUGGAUCUCAGCAGUGCUGCCUAAUCAAUGAAAGUUUGGAGACUGUGUGCUGUUAACUCAUCUGAAACCAUGAUAAAGCCGUGGAUGGUCAUGUCAAAGAGCUAUGGAUAGGGGAUGAAAGUAUUUGCUGCCAAGGGUGGCAACAAACCCACACACCAUCUGAGUGUAAGCCAUUUCUGUAAGCACAUGAAGACAUGGCUUCUUUAAUUUUUUUCUCUAUGAGCAGUAUCCUUGUUUCUGACUUGAAUUAUAUUUUGUUUCUGUUCAUCUUCUCAGGAAGAGGAUUUCUGUGUUUGUUUGUUUUUCUUUUUCCAGUGUGUUUGGAGCUCUAGAUCACAAAUGUAUUUGUAUGGGGAUAAAAAGGAACAUGGUUUAAAGAAACAUAACUAGAACUAAUCAUUGUAGACAUGGUUGAUAGUUCUGGCUUGAAAAUUACCUUGAUUACAAUUGUUUAUCACUUUGAACAUAUGGUCUGAAAGUUUCCAUUCUCUGACUUCAGUUUGAUUUAAUCAAGGGCUUUGGGCAGGGGGAAGCUUGUUUCUUUCCAUGUCAGCUGAGGGAGAUAAGGCACUGCAGAAUAACACCAAAGUGGGGUUUUUCACACAGAAAAUCAUGUAAAGGUUGCAAUAUCACCAUCCUUGUAAGGAAAAAAUUGCAGUUUGGCAUGAAAUGUGCUUUUUCCUAUUUCUAGGUUACAGAUGUCAAAAAAAAAAUGAGUAUGAUCAGUAGAGACAAGGUAACAACUUUUACAUUUAUUUUCUGAAAGCACGGUCAAGUUUAGAGUUGCAUAGGCCUUCUCUUUUUAUGCAGUUUCUCUACUCUCUUGACUGUUCUGGGACUAGACAGAGGAGCUGAGACUGGGAGUCACAGAAUCACAGAAUCACAAGGUUAGAAGAGACCUUCAAGAUCAUCGAGUCCAACCCAUGCCCUAACACCUCAACUAAACCACAGCACUGAGUGCCACAUCCUAUCUUUUUUUAAACACAUCCAGGGAUGGUGACUCCACCACCUCCCUGGGCAGAAAAUUCCAAUACUUUAUCACUCUUUCUGAAAAAAAAAAAUUAAAAUUUUUAGAAAAUAUAUAUAAAAAAAAGGAAUCCUUUCUCUUCUGUGUAUUCAGUCCCAGAGGGAAUUUGAGAAGGAACCCUUUCCAUUGGGUUUGCCUUGGGUUACUGGUUUUGAUUUGAGAAAGUACCAAACAACACCCAAAAAAAAAAAAAAUCCAAGUAAUCCAAGCCCAGUAUCCAAAAUAUUGGACUAGGAAGUGGUGAUAAAAUUUUCAAAGGGUCUAAGUACCAUUUGCUUUGGUAGUUUUAAGUUACAGCCUUAGGAAGUGUCGGCCUCUUGUGCACCAUGCCUGGGUGUGCCCCCUUACCUGUUUCUGCCUUCUCUGCAGCAGGAGCUGGUCUGACUGUCCCAGGGGUGACCUUUGAGAGUGAUGGUUACAAGACAAUCAGGCACCUUGCAGAGAUGACAUUCCCUUGGAUAUACUCCUCUCUUACAGCCAUGACAGAUCCCAAAUGAUUCCAGUGCCUACCACUGCAGUGGGGAAGGAGUCUGAAUUUAUUACUGCUUGUCCCAAAACAAAACAGAACAAAGAGAAAGCACCCAAACUAACCCCCAAAACAUCAGAAGCAACAAGACUAGCUAUUUAGUACUAAUUGUGCUGCAAUAGCUGGAAUUCAGUGUAAAGAUCUAUCUGAAAUGUACUGGGGAGAUGCAUUGUAAAAGAAAGGUGUUGGCGUAUACGUGGUUGAAAUAUGAGCAAAUAUAUUGUUUGCUCUGUGAGUAAACACACAAGAAGAAGAGAACAAAGGAUCCACAAAAAUACCCAUCAUUCAAAUGGCCAGGGCAAGCUGGUCUCCUGCCUAGGCAAGCUGGUAUCUCAUUCUACCGAAAUUUUCCCUCUCUGUGACCAUCAGUUCAGGUAAGUUCCAACCUGCUUGACGGGGGAAGAAUGGGGCCCUCCCAGGAAUAUGGGCUUGAUCUGAAGUUCAAGAAAAAAGUCACUGCUUUACCACUGUUUUCAACAAAGCCCGUGCAGAAAUGAAUACAAGAGAAUGGUCUUGUUCACAUCCCAGUACUGUAAAUCCCCAAAGCAGCGACAGGCUGUUGGCUUCUCUUUCAUAUACAGUUGCAAAGACUGAGGCAUCUGUAACACAUCUUUGGGUUUCUUUUUUUUUUUAAACUCCCUGUGUUGUUUGUGGCAAUGGACUGGAGUGAUGGCAGAAAUGUGCAGAGCAACCGGCUCCCUGGCCAAAAGCCAACCAGCUUGCGUCCUCUCCAGUUACCGGAUCGCAAGCAUCAGGGAAAUGAUGUAGCUGCAAGAAAUGCUGAGGUCAACAGCUGAAAUCUGUUCUUUGUUGGGUUUUAAAGCAUUUCCCUCCAGGCCACAGACAAAAGUUGCUAAGACAGAUUGAAGCAUCGACAGAGAACAUUUUAAGGGAACAGCGUGUUGGGCACUAAAAGCCCAGCUCUGCAGGUGGAAGAGAAUCUGAGCAGUGCAACAGUGAGGGGGAAGAGCAGCAAGAGAAGGAAACAGCUGGUGCAGGUGUUCCUGCCAGAACACCAUGGACAGGAACAAACACUGUAUCACUAAGGUAGGAGUUGUUCUGCAUCAAAACCAAAGAAAGAAGGAACAAUUUUCCAAUUCUGACUAUGCACAACCAAAAAAUCUCAGGAACUCCUUCAAAUUUUCACCCACAAACCAAUGAAAUAUGAUCACCAGUGAUUUAAUGGGAUUUCCAGCAUUGUCGGGGAAAAUUACACCAAAAAGAUUUUUUGGAAAGACAGUGUUAUUAUAGAAAAAUUUAAACUUAAGAGAGAAAAGUGAUUCAAAUGCAAACACUGUCUCCUCGACUAAUCCUGCUCUGAAACCUUUUCUUAGCAUGAGAUAAAAAUGCAUGUUAAAUCCUCUCCUGUUUAGAGUAAGGACAUUUUUGAAGUUGUUACUGUACAGAUUACAUCCAAACAACACUCAAAAUAUGGCAGAAGUUUUAAUAAAUAUCUGUUAGCUUAAUUUAAAAUCA